RNAcentral lists this ribosomal RNA (460 nucleotides) under uncultured bacterium. RNAcentral's name for it is "partial 16S ribosomal RNA". It matches the Rfam family "Bacterial small subunit ribosomal RNA", at positions 338 to 795 of the family's 1533-position model. The record is from RNAcentral.
CCUACGGGUGGCAGCAGUGAGGAAUAUUGGUCAAUGGGCGCGAGCCUGAACCAGCCAAGUAGCGUGAAGGAUGACUGCCCUACGGGUUGUAAACUUCUUUUAUAAAGGGAUAAAGUGAGUCACGUGUGCCUUUUUGUAUGUACUUUAUGAAUAAGGAUCGGCUAACUCCGUGCCAGCAGCCGCGGUAAUACGGAGGAUCCGAGCGUUAUCCGGAUUUAUUGGGUUUAAAGGGAGCGUAGAUGGGUUGUUAAGUCAGCGGUGAAAGUCUGUGGCUCAACCAUGGAAUUGCCGUUGAAACUGGGAGGCUUGAGUACGUAUGAGGCAGGCGGAAUGCGUGGUGUAGCGGUGAAAUGCUUAGAUAUCACGCAGAACACCGAUUGCGAAGGCAGCCUGCUAAGCCAUGACUGACGCUGAUGCACGAAAGCGUGGGGAUCAAACAGGAUUAGAUACCCGUGUAGUC